UUAUUGCUAUUGACGUAAUGCAUUGACGUAUUGAUGUAACCUCCCUGAAAUGACUGCAAAAUGGUAUGUCAGAGCCUUUAGAUUUCAAACUUUCUUGGAGGACAUGCCCCCGAAUGCUCUAGUGUCAUGCGCCUUCCAUGCUCGCUCGUUCCAGGAAUUCAUCUGCUACCCGACACAAAACAAUCCAAGCUACAGCCCUGGGCCAUAUUUCACAAAACAUGGUAGGCCUAAGCCUGGUUUUGCACGUAGUCGCAGAUGUAAACUUACGAUGUUUUGUGAAAUUAGGUGUAGAACAUUCCCGACAAUACGAUUUUAUUUGCUUUAAUGACACCUGAAAUGGCCCGUUCUCGUCGGACCACUGAAGAUAAGCAAACUGGGAUCCGGCUAUUACAGAAACAAAGAAACAUGUUUAAAGACAAAUAUCUUUCUCUUUUGCGUACUGGAUUGUUGCAGACUUUGUGGAAGCCAAACGAUGUCCUUCCACGUGACGUAAACGCAUUGCUUAUGUAACCCCGUGGAAUUAGCGCGCCGACACACAUACACACACAAACACACACACACACACACACAAACAACACACAUACACAAACGCAACAUACACACAUACGCGCGCGCGCGCACGCGCGCACACACACACACACACACACACACACACACACAACGGCAUGCAUAUUAAACUGCAUCUAUAUGACUUUUUGUUUUUGUUUUUUAAGCCGAUAUAUGGGGAGGCGCUACAAACGCGUUCGACCUCAAUAACUGGGCGUGGGCGCGAGGGAACUCAACGUUCACGGUUAAGGACAUGCCGACUGGAUACAUCUACUUCAUGUUGUACCGCUUCACGAGCCAGUACGACUACGGCAUAGGCAAAACGUAUGAAACGCAUCCGUUCAUCUGCGAGAAAUGGUAGUCCCAUAUAUAUAUCGCCAAUGGAUUUGAACACAAACGGAACCCAAAUCAUGAUGACAACGUUUUUAUCAAUACAACAUCUGCUAUUUUCAUUUUAAGAGCCCGUCAGACGUUUUAUAUUGUGCUGUGUUGUUGAUUUUUUUAAAUUACUAAAUGUUCAACUUGAAGAGGACACGUAGCUUGCGAGGUGUUUUAUAAUUAAAAGAAAAAUAAAUUAAGAUGAAUACAA
Molecule: long non-coding RNA, 1135 nt
Organism: Gigantopelta aegis
Lineage: Eukaryota; Metazoa; Mollusca; Gastropoda; Neomphalida; Peltospiridae
Exons: 2
Source: RefSeq, a predicted model, not a curated record